Molecule: ribosomal RNA, 315 nt
Filed under: uncultured prokaryote
Description: bacterial SSU rRNA
Rfam family: Bacterial small subunit ribosomal RNA
Source: RNAcentral
AGAGUUUGAUCCUGGCUCAGAUUGAACGCUGGCGGCAUGCUUUACACAUGCAAGUCGAACGGCAGCGACGGGGCACCCUGGUGGCGAGUGGCGAACGGGUGAGUAAUGGCAUCGGGACGUAUCCUUGAGUGGGGUAAUAACGGCAGCGGAAAGUUGUGCUAAUACCGCAUAAGCUCUGAGGAGGAAAGCGGGGACCGAAAGGCCUCGCGCUGAAGGAGCGGCCGAUGUCCGAUUAGCUAGUUGGUGAGGUAAGGCUUACCAAGGCGACGAUCGGUAGCUGGUCUGAGAGGAUGAUCAGCCACACUGGGACUGAGA